UGAGGAAUAUUGGUCAAUGGGCGCAAGCCUGAACCAGCCAUCCCGCGUGCAGGAAGACGGCCCUAUGGGUUGUAAACUGCUUUUCCAGGGGGAGAAUUUUUCUGUCGUGACAGGAAUUGACGGUACCCUGGGAAUAAGCAUCGGCUAACUCCGUGCCAGCAGCCGCGGUAAUACGGAGGAUGCGAGCGUUAUCCGGAUUUAUUGGGUUUAAAGGGUGCGUAGGCGGAUUGAUAAGUCAGUGGUGAAAACCUGCAGCUUAACUGUAGACUUGCCGUUGAUACUGUCGGUCUUGAGUGUGGUCAAGGUAGGCGGAAUGUGUAAUGUAGCGGUGAAAUGCUUAGAUAUUACACAGAACACCGAUUGCGAAGGCAGCUCACUGGGCCAUUACUGACGCUGAUGCACGAAAGCGUGGGGAUCGAACA
This 422-nucleotide ribosomal RNA is filed under the name uncultured bacterium. RNAcentral describes it as "bacterial SSU rRNA". It matches the Rfam family "Bacterial small subunit ribosomal RNA", at positions 355 to 774 of the family's 1533-position model. The record is from RNAcentral.